This 240-nucleotide ribosomal RNA is filed under the name uncultured bacterium. Its description in RNAcentral is "partial 16S ribosomal RNA". It matches the Rfam family "Bacterial small subunit ribosomal RNA", at positions 537 to 776 of the family's 1533-position model. The record is from RNAcentral.
AGCGUUGUUCGGAUUUACUGGGCGUAAAGGGCGCGCAGGCGGCUCAUUUUGUCAGGCGUGAAAGCCCCGGGCUUAACCUGGGAACUGCGUUUGAUACGGAUGGGCUAGAGUUCGGGAGAGGAGAGUGGAAUUCCCAGUGUAGAGGUGAAAUUCGUAGAUAUUGGGAAGAACACCGGUGGCGAAGGCGGCUCUCUGGACCGAGACUGACGCUGAGGCGCGAAAGCGUGGGGAGCAAACAGG